GAGCAGGCUUUGUUGAGUGAAGCUGAUUGGUUGCAGGAGCAGCAACAGUUCCAGAAUCAAGUCGUGACACCCACCUCCUCAAGGUUUAGUUAAAUAUAUCUUGUGGUGAAAAUGCCCGGAGCAGGAAGGCAAAGCAUCAUGAAGAGGAUAUUCGGAGCUCUGCUGGGGCUCUUGAGUGCCCAGGUUUGCUGUGUGAGAGGAAUACAAGUGGAGCAGAGUCCUCCAGACCUGAUUCUCCAGGAGGGAGCCAAUUCCACGCUGCGGUGCAAUUAUUCUGCCACUGUGAGCAGUUUGCAGUGGUUUCACCAAAACCCUUGGGGACAGCUCAUCAACCUGUUUUACAUCACCUCAGGGACAAAACAGAAUGGAAGAUUAAGUGCCACAACUGUCACUAAGGAACGCUACAGCUUAUUGCACAUUUCCUCCUCCCAGACCACAGACUCAGGCAUUUAUUUCUGUGCUGUGGAGCCACAGUGCUCCCCAGGCACCUGCAGCCUGUACACAAACCCUCAGCUGGGCUCAGUUGCUCUACCAGCAACAACCAUAUCACGAGGCCACCUCAGCAGCAUUUCCAUAGCUUAAUAUUCCUUUUGUACAUAGGUAGAGUUUUAACCACAGAUUCUUUUUGGCUCUACAGGUUUGAGACUUUGGUCUUUAUUUUCCCUUUUCAAUGCACACCUCUUCCUGCCCUAUAAAUAUGUAGCUUGGAAGGAGUAGAGUAGCUGAUAAGAGGACAGAAUCAAAAUAAAUAUUUAAGUGACAGUAUGCAGGACUCCAAAAGGGUAAAAAGUAAAAAGAAUAAAAAGAAAAGAAACAC
Mandrillus leucophaeus (drill) is the source of this 817-nucleotide non-coding RNA. Lineage: Eukaryota; Metazoa; Chordata; Mammalia; Primates; Cercopithecidae. The record is from the annotation of a RefSeq genome assembly.